This 1960-nucleotide ribosomal RNA is filed under the name Pseudomonas sp. NFIX28. RNAcentral describes it as "bacterial LSU rRNA". It matches the Rfam family "Bacterial large subunit ribosomal RNA", at positions 1 to 1995 of the family's 2925-position model. The record is from RNAcentral. Lineage: Bacteria; Pseudomonadati; Pseudomonadota; Gammaproteobacteria; Pseudomonadales; Pseudomonadaceae.
UAUGGUCAAGUGAAGAAGCGCAUACGGUGGAUGCCUUGGCAGUCAGAGGCGAUGAAAGACGUGGUAGCCUGCGAAAAGCUUCGGGGAGUCGGCAAACAGACUUUGAUCCGGAGAUGUCUGAAUGGGGGAACCCAGCCAUCAUAAGAUGGUUAUCUUGUACUGAAUACAUAGGUGCAAGAGGCGAACCAGGGGAACUGAAACAUCUAAGUACCCUGAGGAAAAGAAAUCAACCGAGAUUCCCUUAGUAGUGGCGAGCGAACGGGGACUAGCCCUUAAGUGGCUUUGAGAUUAGCGGAACGCUCUGGAAAGUGCGGCCAUAGUGGGUGAUAGCCCUGUACGCGAAAAUCUCUUAGUCAUGAAAUCGAGUAGGACGGAGCACGAGAAACUUUGUCUGAAUAUGGGGGGACCAUCCUCCAAGGCUAAAUACUACUGACUGACCGAUAGUGAACUAGUACCGUGAGGGAAAGGCGAAAAGAACCCCGGAGAGGGGAGUGAAAUAGAUCCUGAAACCGUAUGCGUACAAGCAGUGGGAGCAGACUUUGUUCUGUGACUGCGUACCUUUUGUAUAAUGGGUCAGCGACUUAUAUUCAGUGGCGAGCUUAACCGAAUAGGGGAGGCGUAGCGAAAGCGAGUCUUAAUAGGGCGUUUAGUCGCUGGGUAUAGACCCGAAACCGGGCGAUCUAUCCAUGGGCAGGUUGAAGGUUAGGUAACACUGACUGGAGGACCGAACCGACUACCGUUGAAAAGUUAGCGGAUGACCUGUGGAUCGGAGUGAAAGGCUAAUCAAGCUCGGAGAUAGCUGGUUCUCCUCGAAAGCUAUUUAGGUAGCGCCUCAUGUAUCACUGUAGGGGGUAGAGCACUGUUUCGGCUAGGGGGUCAUCCCGACUUACCAAACCGAUGCAAACUCCGAAUACCUACAAGUGCCGAGCAUGGGAGACACACGGCGGGUGCUAACGUCCGUCGUGAAAAGGGAAACAACCCAGACCGUCAGCUAAGGUCCCAAAGUUAUGGUUAAGUGGGAAACGAUGUGGGAAGGCUUAGACAGCUAGGAGGUUGGCUUAGAAGCAGCCACCCUUUAAAGAAAGCGUAAUAGCUCACUAGUCGAGUCGGCCUGCGCGGAAGAUGUAACGGGGCUCAAACCAUACACCGAAGCUACGGGUAUCACGUAAGUGAUGCGGUAGAGGAGCGUUCUGUAAGCCUGUGAAGGUGAGUUGAGAAGCUUGCUGGAGGUAUCAGAAGUGCGAAUGCUGACAUGAGUAACGACAAUGGGUGUGAAAAACACCCACGCCGAAAGACCAAGGUUUCCUGCGCAACGUUAAUCGACGCAGGGUUAGUCGGUCCCUAAGGCGAGGCUGAAAAGCGUAGUCGAUGGAAAACAGGUUAAUAUUCCUGUACUUCUAGUUAUUGCGAUGGAGGGACGGAGAAGGCUAGGCCAGCUUGGCGUUGGUUGUCCAAGUUUAAGGUGGUAGGCUGGAAUCUUAGGUAAAUCCGGGGUUCUAAGGCCGAGAGCUGAUGACGAGUUACCUUUUAGGUGACGAAGUGGUUGAUGCCAUGCUUCCAAGAAAAGCUUCUAAGCUUCAGAUAACUAGGAACCGUACCCCAAACCGACACAGGUGGUUGGGUAGAGAAUACCAAGGCGCUUGAGAGAACUCGGGUGAAGGAACUAGGCAAAAUGGCACCGUAACUUCGGGAGAAGGUGCGCCGGUGAGGGUGAAGGACUUGCUCCGUAAGCUCAUGCCGGUCGAAGAUACCAGGCCGCUGCGACUGUUUAUUAAAAACACAGCACUCUGCAAACACGAAAGUGGACGUAUAGGGUGUGACGCCUGCCCGGUGCCGGAAGGUUAAUUGAUGGGGUUAGCUAACGCGAAGCUCUUGAUCGAAGCCCCGGUAAACGGCGGCCGUAACUAUAACGGUCCUAAGGUAGCGAAAUUCCUUGUCGGGUAAGUUCCGACCUGCACGA